AUGGUUUUUCGUGGGGGUUUGUCAAAGAUGUCUACAACACCAAGGUGGCAAACCUGUACAAUCUUCAUUCUCGGAUCACAGCUGCAUGCGCACUGGUGGACGCAUCAUGAUGAGCCGAACAUGGUUCGUGUUUUUUGCAAGGACUGCUGGACCGACAACCACCAAACAGCUUCAAACACAAUGUUGUUGCAGUUCUGUGAAACAGGUACUCCCCCAAGGCAAUAUAGCUGUCUCGUGACUGAUUCCAUGACCUUGGUGAUGAUUGGAAGUAAAUAUUUUCGUUGUGCUCCUGAAAAUGUGUGUCAAAAAUUAUGUGUUGUGCUUGGUCAAAUAUUUUCGUUAUGCUCAGUGAAGUUACACUUUCUACUUUCUGCACAUUCCUUAAUCUUUUCUUCUCUCAAUAUAAUUGUCCGAACAAUAUAGCACCCAACAUAUAGCUGUCCCGAGACAGUUAUUUCAUUAGUAUUCAUUUUAGAUAGCCCAUCCCUUAUGUCUAGGGGGUUUAUGGGUCAUAAGCGGUGCAUGGGCCUUCAGUUAAGUCUUUAUCCCCAUCUUUUACUUUGCUGCACACAACCUCUCCUUCAUGCAUACACGCAAGCAGUUCAUUAGAAUAUGCCGCCAAAACCUCAUUCAAACUUCGGCCAUUCUCCAAUGACACAUCACCUCAGACCUUUGCCCAAUCGAACCCCAAUGCUACAACAUUUCUACAACCACCACAACACCUUUAUAAAAAUCCCCACAACAACCCAGGCUCACUUGCCAUCACCAUCAACCACUACAACCACGAUGCCACCACUACAAACAUCUCAACCACAUUCACCUUCACAGCUGCCCACCACUGCCCUUUGGAGGUGGCGGGGAGCAUUGCAGAUGCUUAUGCCCGGGACGUUCUGGCGUGUAGCUUGAAGAGCAAGUGUGCGCUAAAAUCCGCUCAACAUCGUAUGGAUAGCCCGAGCGCUCCGCUCAAAUACUGCCCCCAUUGGGUGUCUAAUGCAUGUUCAUGGCCGGGAAGCGCGAUCAAGUAUCCCGCCCUAUGUUAUACUCAGAGCUCAGCCACAUGAUGAGGAUUUAGAGCAAAUGAGGCCAAUUCUGAUACCAGGUUCUCGCAUGGGCAGGGCCAACAUUUGGGUAACUGUCCAUACACCAAUGGGGGCACUCAGAAACUCCAACAGUCCAUCAUAAUCUGCCUUUAGGCUCCUUCCUCGCCAAACAACUAUAAGAGAGCGAUCGAGAGAAAGAGAGAACACUUUUGGCUUGGUCGGCAGUAUGGGACAAAAGAUGGAACUGAGCAGGUGGAAGGAGCUCAUGGAACAGAGCAUGUGGAGCCGAGCGCUAGCUGGGCGAGCGAUCCAGACACCGUACCAGGCGCAUACAUUAGGGCCAAGUCGAUAACAAAUUUGCACGCACAGAUAAUCUCACACGAAAGAGCUUUCUCACACGUUUUGUCUCUUGUUUUCCAUCUCACCCGCUGUGGAUCCAUAAGAGUGAUCCGUGAGGGCAAGUCCCGACCAACCAUUUUUUUUCAGAGCGACCCCACAGACACACACUUCUUUUCAUUUUCUUCUCUGCGCCUCAUCCGCAUUUCAACUGCACCUCACCCCUCACCACGCCCCUCAUCACACCUCCUCAGUGAUUGGGUUGCAUUGGUCCAUCAACUGCACCUGGUAUCAAAGAGGUUGCCCCCCCCCCCCCCCCCCCCCCCCCCCCCCCCCCCCCCCCCCCCCCCCCCCCCCCCCCCCCCCCCCCCCCCCCCCCCCCCCCCCCCCCCCCCCCCCCCCCCCCCUCUCUCUCUCUCUCUCUCUCGCUCUCUCUCUCGCUCUCGCUCUCGCUCUCGCUCUCUCCUUGGGAUAUGCUUUUGAUGGCACAUGUCUUGUAUAGUAUAAGUUAAGAGUGUGUAAGUUCAUUAUAUUGGUAUAGUUCUGCCCUGUCUCUUGUUCUUUUGUAAAUAUUUGCAUUUAUUUUGCUUCACUUGUUGUAAUAAAUUUGCUUGUAUAAAUGUACCCAACUCGUAGCAUCUUUUCCCCAUUGGUCUUGCAUGGGCCACACGUAGAUUUAGCUGGGAAGUUUUACUCCACCAAUUUUCUCUUGUUAGCCAGUGCGUACUCGGCAACUCUGCUCGGCUACACUUGAUUUGGCAAGUUAACUUGUGUACUCAUCGAGGACACAAGACCCCCCCUUGAUGCCGCCAAUUCACCAGAAAAGGUGACAUUUAAAGUAGUGCAAACACUGCCAGGAUUGGCAGUACCAUUCAGCACUCGUGGUUGAUUAGCAACCCGCCGGCGUGUGGAGUUAUCUGUGCUCGGUGACCUCAGGACCAGAUGUUCAGGAGGAACUCGACUCGAGCGCUUCUCCUUGUGGCUAAACUCGAACCCCGGAUCCGUAACAAUAUGUUAUCCUUACUAUAAUUCACGGACCGGUGUAUGUGUGUUUGUGGGUUGUUUGUUGUGGGUUUGUUUAUUGGGCUGCUCCGCUUACAACCUUGGCCCAAUUACAUCUCGACUUGCUACAGAGGAGCAGCUUUACCCCAAUUAAUGUAUAGGGGUGUUUUUAUCUUUGCCAGUGGUCUUGGGAGGGGGAGGGGGAGGAGUGAGGGGACGACACAAAUUCUCUAUGUAAAUGUGCAUCGCGUAGUGCCACCUCCAGGUGGAGAAUGGUAUAACAAGUCUCCACCAUUUACACUACAGUGUUCGUGUCACCACAUUUUCCAGUCCAGUGAGCUGUUUUGAAUUAUAAUCAGUAGGUAUGUUUUUACUUCAUGCAGGUAACCUGGUAUAUAUUUUUUUUUUUCUGAAACAGAGCUGUCACUUGUCUAUACACUGCCCAAAUAUAGGUGUGCAUCAGAAGAACGCGUUGCAUGCUUGGAACAAGGUUGC
RNAcentral lists this long non-coding RNA (2873 nucleotides) under Eptatretus burgeri (inshore hagfish). RNAcentral's name for it is "lncRNA (ENSEBUG00000017488.1)". The record is from RNAcentral. Lineage: Eukaryota; Metazoa; Chordata; Myxini; Myxiniformes; Myxinidae.